RNAcentral lists this ribosomal RNA (497 nucleotides) under uncultured bacterium. RNAcentral describes it as "partial 16S ribosomal RNA". It matches the Rfam family "Bacterial small subunit ribosomal RNA", at positions 28 to 507 of the family's 1533-position model. The record is from RNAcentral.
GAUGAACGCUGGCGGCGUGCCUAAUACAUGCAAGUCGAGCGAACAGACGAGGAGCUUGCUCCUCUGACGUUAGCGGCGGACGGGUGAGUAACACGUGGAUAACCUACCUAUAAGACUGGGAUAACUUCGGGAAACCGGAGCUAAUCCCGGAUAAUAUAUUGAACCGCAUGGUUCAAUAGUGAAAGACGGUUUUGCUGUCACUUAUAGAUGGAUCCGCGCCGCAUUAGCUAGUUGGUAAGGUAACGGCUUACCAAGGCUACGAUGCGUAGCCGACCUGAGAGGGUGAUCGGCCACACUGGAACGGAGACACGGUCCAGACGCCUACGGGAGGCAGCAGUAGGGAAUCUUCCGCAAUGGGCGAAAGCCUGACGGAGCAACGCCGCGUGAGUGAUGAAGGUCUUCGGAUCGUAAAACUCUGUUAUGAGGGAAGAACAAAUGUGUAAGUAACUAUGCACGUCUUGACGGUACCUAAUCAGAAAGCCACGGCUAACUACGUG